GCAUUGGUGGUUCAGUGGUAGAAUUCUCGCCUGCCACGCGGGAGGACCCGGGUCCGAUUCCCGGCCAAUGCA
Carassius gibelio (silver crucian carp) is the source of this 72-nucleotide non-coding RNA. NCBI's taxonomy places the organism in Eukaryota, Metazoa, Chordata, Actinopteri, Cypriniformes, Cyprinidae. The record is from the annotation of a RefSeq genome assembly.